This 906-nucleotide ribosomal RNA is filed under the name Latilactobacillus sakei subsp. carnosus. Its description in RNAcentral is "bacterial SSU rRNA". It matches the Rfam family "Bacterial small subunit ribosomal RNA", at positions 60 to 923 of the family's 1533-position model. Lineage: Bacteria; Bacillati; Bacillota; Bacilli; Lactobacillales; Lactobacillaceae. The record is from RNAcentral.
AGUCGAACGCACUCUCGUUUAGAUUGAAGGAGCUUGCUCCUGAUUGAUAAACAUUUGAGUGAGUGGCGGACGGGUGAGUAACACGUGGGUAACCUGCCCUAAAGUGGGGGAUAACAUUUGGAAACAGAUGCUAAUACCGCAUAAAACCUAACACCGCAUGGUGUAGGGUUGAAAGAUGGUUUCGGCUAUCACUUUAGGAUGGACCCGCGGUGCAUUAGUUAGUUGGUGAGGUAAAGGCUCACCAAGACCGUGAUGCAUAGCCGACCUGAGAGGGUAAUCGGCCACACUGGGACUGAGACACGGCCCAGACUCCUACGGGAGGCAGCAGUAGGGAAUCUUCCACAAUGGACGAAAGUCUGAUGGAGCAACGCCGCGUGAGUGAAGAAGGUUUUCGGAUCGUAAAACUCUGUUGUUGGAGAAGAAUGUAUCUGAUAGUAACUGAUCAGGUAGUGACGGUAUCCAACCAGAAAGCCACGGCUAACUACGUGCCAGCAGCCGCGGUAAUACGUAGGUGGCAAGCGUUGUCCGGAUUUAUUGGGCGUAAAGCGAGCGCAGGCGGUUUCUUAAGUCUGAUGUGAAAGCCUUCGGCUCAACCGAAGAAGUGCAUCGGAAACUGGGAAACUUGAGUGCAGAAGAGGACAGUGGAACUCCAUGUGUAGCGGUGAAAUGCGUAGAUAUAUGGAAGAACACCAGUGGCGAAGGCGGCUGUCUGGUCUGUAACUGACGCUGAGGCUCGAAAGCAUGGGUAGCAAACAGGAUUAGAUACCCUGGUAGUCCAUGCCGUAAACGAUGAGUGCUAGGUGUUGGAGGGUUUCCGCCCUUCAGUGCCGCAGCUAACGCAUUAAGCACUCCGCCUGGGGAGUACGACCGCAAAGGUUGAAACUCAAAGGAAUUGACGGGGGGCCC